AUCAGGUAUGGUGGUGCCUACCUGUAAUCCCUGCUACCUAGGUGGUUGGGGCUGUCAGAACUCUUGAGCUGGGGACACUAUGCUGUUAAGGUGCCCAAACUACAUUCAGCAUCAACAUGGAAAGUCCCUGAGAGCAGGGAACCACCAGGUUGCCUAAGGAGGGGUGAACUAGCCUAGGUCGGAAAAUGGAACAAAGUUCCAGUGUUGGGCAGUAGUGGGAUCAAGCUCAUGAAAGACCCCUGUGCCCUCAACCUAGGUGAAAUGUGGAGACCAU
RNAcentral lists this signal recognition particle RNA (274 nucleotides) under Phascolarctos cinereus (koala). RNAcentral describes it as "Metazoan signal recognition particle RNA (ENSPCIG00000030554.2)". It matches the Rfam family "Metazoan signal recognition particle RNA". From Rfam's summary of the family: The signal recognition particle (SRP) is a universally conserved ribonucleoprotein. It is involved in the co-translational targeting of proteins to membranes. Lineage: Eukaryota; Metazoa; Chordata; Mammalia; Diprotodontia; Phascolarctidae. The record is from RNAcentral.